This 305-nucleotide ribosomal RNA is filed under the name uncultured bacterium. RNAcentral's name for it is "bacterial SSU rRNA". It matches the Rfam family "Bacterial small subunit ribosomal RNA", at positions 334 to 638 of the family's 1533-position model. The record is from RNAcentral.
GUUUCCUACGGGAGGCAGCAGUGGGGAAUAUUGGACAAUGGGGGAAACCCUGAUCCAGCGACGCCGCGUGAGUGAAGAAGUAUUUCGGUAUGUAAACCUCUUUUGUCGGGGAACAAAGGCGCCCACGGGUGGGCGGAUGAGUGUACCCGAAGAAAAAGCAUCGGCUAACUCCGUGCCAGCAGCCGCGGUAAUACGGAGGAUGCGAGCGUUAUCCGGAUUUAUUGGGUUUAAAGGGUGCGUAGGCGGACAGUCAAGUCAGCGGUAAAAAUGCGGUGCUCAACGCCGUACAGCCGUUGAAACUGGCA